This 71-nucleotide transfer RNA is filed under the name Bracteacoccus aerius. RNAcentral describes it as "tRNA-Asn". It matches the Rfam family "tRNA". From Rfam's summary of the family: Transfer RNA (tRNA) molecules are approximately 80 nucleotides in length. Lineage: Eukaryota; Viridiplantae; Chlorophyta; Chlorophyceae; Sphaeropleales; Bracteacoccaceae. The record is from RNAcentral.
UCUUCGAUAGCUCAGCGGUAGAGCGGUUGGCUGUUAACCAAUAGGUCGUAGGUUCAAAUCCUACUCGAGGA